RNAcentral lists this non-coding RNA (147 nucleotides) under Nomascus leucogenys (northern white-cheeked gibbon). Lineage: Eukaryota; Metazoa; Chordata; Mammalia; Primates; Hylobatidae. The record is from Rfam by way of RNAcentral.
GCCGGGCAUGGUGGUGCGUGCCUGUAAUCCCAGCUACUUGGGAGGCUGAGGCAGGAGAAUUGCUUGAACCCAGGAGUAGAGGUUGCAUUGAGCUGAGAUUGCACCAUUGCACUCCAGCCUGGGCAACAGAGUAAGACUCUGUCUCAA